GCAGUAGGCCGGCUUGCCGCUGCCGGUUUCGGCCGGGAGAGGAAAGUCCGGGCAACACAGGGCAUUCCACUUCUUAACGGGAAGUAAUCCGCGAGGGUUAGAGCGUGCAGAAGAAAAGAACCGCCGUCCGCAAGGACGGUAAGGGUGAGAAGGCGGGGUAAGAGCCCACCGGCCGGAUGGCGACAUCCGGGCCGUGCAUUCUGGAAGUUGAAAGUUCGCGUAUACCGGCGCCACAAGAGAGGGCGGCCCGCCCGAGCCGGAGGGUAGAACGAUAGAGCCUUACGGUGACGCAAGGUCUGGAUAAAUGGCAAGCACUUCGUUUCAUACGAGGUACAGAACCCGGCUUACAGGCCGACUGCUUUU
Paraprevotella clara CAG:116 is the source of this 363-nucleotide non-coding RNA. It matches the Rfam family "Bacterial RNase P class A". Rfam says of the family: Ribonuclease P (RNase P) is a ubiquitous endoribonuclease, found in archaea, bacteria and eukarya as well as chloroplasts and mitochondria. Its best characterised activity is the generation of mature 5'-ends of tRNAs by cleaving the 5'-leader elements of precursor-tRNAs. Cellular RNase Ps are ribonucleoproteins. NCBI's taxonomy places the organism in Bacteria, Pseudomonadati, Bacteroidota, Bacteroidia, Bacteroidales, Prevotellaceae. The record is from Rfam.